GUGGUUUAUUUUUUUUAGUUCUGUGAUAAGUCAAUAUUUCAUGCAGGUUCAUGAAAUAAUGGUUUUAUGCAUAUCAGCCAAGAUUGUGCGUGGAAUUUUAAUAAACAAUUCAACACCACACGUUAUGUGAAUUUGAUUAAAAUCGAUGAACAUGAAUUUGACAGCUAGUGACCCUUUUACAGGUAAAAUUCAAUUAACAAAUUCUGACCUACUGGCAUUCAACACCAAAAUUACCUACUUGCUGUAUAUUGAUAAAUGUGAUUGUAUGUCAAUACCUCAACAUCGUGAAUACGCCAUGUGAGGUGUUGGUUAUGUGUGCUACGGGGUCACUGGUGGCGCCUUCAAAACAGAAAAAAAAUCCAAGUAAAAAAGUGUGGAAUUUUGUUGCUGAAAAUUUAAGUUGUAAAUUCCUGAAAAAUGUACUUAAUUCCGUUCAACUGCUAACAUGUAAGUUCGAUACGAAAAUAGGAUAAAAAGCAUUCGAAAAAUUUGUGAUCAGUAAUUAUUUUUCGAAUAAAUGAAGAGCAAUGGGUUAAAAAAAACUGAAGAAGAAAAGUAAAAAGUAAAAGAAAGUCGUUGAAUUAAUUAUUUUACAAUUGUUUAAAUAUAUGAGAGAAUGUUUUAGGCAAAUUGUCUUUAUUUACAGAUAAAUGUAUUUAAGUUCAGGAAAUGAUUUAUUCUUCUGGCGGCUUCAAAUAUUUUUUUUUAUCAAUAACUUAUACACAAGGAGACAUUUUUUGACUUUUGACAGCAUGAACCGCAGUUAAUUAGCAAACACAAAUUAAGACACAAAAUCGUUUACAAAUAAAUUUUAUAGAAGGAAAAAA
Molecule: long non-coding RNA, 827 nt
Filed under: Mytilus galloprovincialis (Mediterranean mussel)
Lineage: Eukaryota; Metazoa; Mollusca; Bivalvia; Mytilida; Mytilidae
Source: RNAcentral